RNAcentral lists this ribosomal RNA (974 nucleotides) under uncultured Methanosarcinales archaeon. Its description in RNAcentral is "bacterial SSU rRNA". It matches the Rfam family "Archaeal small subunit ribosomal RNA", at positions 42 to 1020 of the family's 1478-position model. The record is from RNAcentral. Lineage: Archaea; Methanobacteriati; Methanobacteriota; Methanomicrobia; Methanosarcinales.
UCUAAAGCCCAUUGCGAGUCGAAUGUAGCAAUACAUGGCGAACUGCUCAGUAACACGUGGACAACCUGCCCUUAGGUUGGGUAUAAACCCGGGAAACUGGGUAUAAUACCCGAUAGGUCUCGAUUGCUGGAAUGCAUCGAGAUUUAAAGCUCCGGCGCCUAAGGAUGGGUCUGCGGCCUAUCAGGUAGUAGUGGGUGUAGCGUACCUACUAGCCUACGACGGGUACGGGUUGUGAGAGCGAGAGCCCGGAGAUGGAUUCUGAGACACGAAUCCAGGCCCUACGGGGUGCAGCAGGCGCGAAAACUUUACAAUGCUGGCAACAGCGAUAAGGGAACCUCGAGUGCCAGGUUACAAAUCUGGCUGUCGAGAUGCCUAAAAAGCAUUUCAUAGCAAGGGCCGGGCAAGACCGGUGCCAGCCGCCGCGGUAACACCGGCGGCUCGAGUGGUAACCGUUAUUAUUGGGUCUAAAGGGUCUGUAGCCGGCCGGAUAAGUCUCUUGAGAAAUCUGGCAGCUUAACUGUCAGGCUUUCAGGAGAUACUGUCUGGCUCGAGGCCGGGAGAGGUGAGAGGUACUUCAGGGGUAGGGGUGAAAUCUUGUAAUCCUUGAAGGACCACCAGUGGCGAAGGCGUCUCACCAGAACGGACCUGACGGCAAGGGACGAAAGCUAGGGGCACGAACCGGAUUAGAUACCCGGGUAGUCCUAGCCGUAAACGAUACUCGCUAGGUGUCGGCCACGGUGCGACCGUUGUCGGUGCCGUAGGGAAGCCGUGAAGCGAGCCCCCUGGGAAGUACGGCCGCAAGGCUGAAACUUAAAGGAAUUGGCGGGGGAGCACCACAACGGGUGGAGCUUGCGGUUUAAUUGGAUUCAACGCCGGAAAUCUUACCGGGACCGACAGCAAUAUGAAGGCCAGGCUGAAGACUUUGCCGGAUUAGCUGAGAGGUGGUGCAUGGCCGUCGUCAGUCGUACUGAGAU